Long non-coding RNA from Phragmites australis (common reed), 1197 nucleotides. RefSeq lists it as uncharacterized. The record is from RefSeq and is a predicted model, not a curated record. Lineage: Eukaryota; Viridiplantae; Streptophyta; Magnoliopsida; Poales; Poaceae. The transcript has 5 exons.
GCGACGGAACUGCUGAAGCUGAAAUGAUAGCCUUUGGUGAGGUUGCUCGACGUAUUGUCGGUAAACCUGUCCAACAAGUCCUACGGACAUCAAGAUUCACAAACGACACACCACCUGACAUUGCAACCAUAGUAUCCUUAAAAUUCGCUCUUGCAAUCACCUUGACAGAGCAAAGUUAUUAUACUCCUCAAAAAUCCUAUCAAGUUAAUUCUGUUAUUACUGCUUAUGGCAGACAGCAUGCGCUUCCGCAUACAACUCAUAGCCAGUAUAAACAUGUAGGAACUUCCCAGAUCACAAGUCAUGCACUCACAUAUCCAACAUCAUCAACCACUCACCUAGCAUCACAAACAAUCGACUAUCCUAUGCAUCCUUAUACGACUCCACCCAAUCCUACCACACCAUCUGAAUCCACAAACACCUCACCAUCAGCAGAGGCAGAAAUUCAAACAAUACCCCUCAAAAAUAGGCCGACAGAUAUUACUCCUCCACCUACACUACAACAGGAUGAAACACCAUUGAAGAAACUUGGACUCACGCAUGAUGUUGCUUCAUCUAAACGCUCAGCUCUUCAAAAAAGGCUAUUCCAAGAUACAAUAGAUACUGCAAAGGCAAGCAUGCUUUAUCCACUUCACUGCAUAAUCACCUCUCCAUAUAAAUCAUCAUCCUAAAAGUUCAAUUAUACACAUAUACUUUCCUGUUUACCUAGGAGGACAUUACAGCCCAGAAAAAAGCCAAAAAUGACUCCCCUGCAACAGCAGCCAGUGCAGCACUCCACUUGACAACCCAGCAGCCUACUUCUCAGCAAGACACAGGUGGAUCCACAAAAAAGCCUGACAUCAAAGCACCUCACACUCAAAAAAGCAAAUGAUGAAGGCAACCAAAACAAUGGCGACAUUUUGAUCUUGCAACACUGCUUCUCUUUUGCCUCAACAAAGUGUCUGAUCUUUCCCUCCUUUUUUUUUUGGACCUUGCUUUUGGAAUUCUCAUACGCAGCCUCUCUGACGCGCCACCCAUAACUGAACAACAAAGGACCAGCUCCACCCUUUUUUUUUCUUGAAGUUUGCUUUUGGAACUGUGAUAGACACCUACUUAGCACGUCACCCAUAAUUUCAGCUACUAUCAGUGCCUUUCCUGUAACAUUAUAUGUACAUAUAUGCCCUGCUUAAACAAUGCAAACCAGGUUUAAUUUGUAGCUUU